Molecule: ribosomal RNA, 253 nt
Filed under: uncultured bacterium
Lineage: Bacteria
Description: partial 16S ribosomal RNA
Rfam family: Bacterial small subunit ribosomal RNA
Source: RNAcentral
UACGGAGGGUGCGAGCGUUAAUCGGAAUUACUGGGCGUAAAGCGCAUGCAGGUGGUUUGUUAAGUCAGAUGUGAAAGCCCCGGGCUCAACCUGGGAAUUGCAUUUGAAACUGGCAAACUAGAGUACUGUAGAGGGGGGUAGAAUUUCAGGUGUAGCGGUGAAAUGCGUAGAGAUCUGAAGGAAUACCGGUGGCGAAGGCGGCCCCCUGGACAGAUACUGACACUCAGAUGCGAAAGCGUGGGGAGCAAACAGG